Molecule: transfer RNA, 63 nt
Filed under: Thyestilla gebleri
Lineage: Eukaryota; Metazoa; Arthropoda; Insecta; Coleoptera; Cerambycidae
Description: tRNA-Thr
Rfam family: tRNA
About the family: Transfer RNA (tRNA) molecules are approximately 80 nucleotides in length.
Source: RNAcentral
GUUUUAAUAAUUUAAAUAAAAUAUUGGUCUUGUAAACCAAAAAUAAGAAAUUCUUUUAAAACA